This 374-nucleotide long non-coding RNA is filed under the name Populus tremula. RNAcentral's name for it is "long non-coding RNA (PTRE_LNC001651)". Lineage: Eukaryota; Viridiplantae; Streptophyta; Magnoliopsida; Malpighiales; Salicaceae. The record is from RNAcentral.
AAAGGGCACGGGAGGACGUUCACAAGGAGACGGAAACAAAAAAACAAACAGACGGCAGAGGAGAGAACAGAUGAGAAAACAAAAGAGAAGAAAGGGAGGAAAACAGAGGAAAAACCAAAGAGAGUGACAGAGACAGAGAGAAGUAAAAGAAGAACAACAGACAGAGAAGCGAGAUAGAAGGAGAGGAGGGUCAUCGCAGGGGCGCCACCCGCCAGUCUCCGUCGCCAUCCGCUUUGCUCCCAGUAGCUGCUCGCCCAGGUCAGUUUGUUUUCCGCCCUCCCUCCAUUUUAAUUACCAUGUUUCUGUAGCAGGCGCUCGUGAACAGUUCACGAACGCCUGCAGGUAAAAAAAAAAAAAAUAAACAAAGAGAAAAG